UACGUAGGGGGCGAGCGUUGUCCGGAUUUAUUGGGCGUAAAGAGCGUGUAGGCGGCCAGGUAGGUCUGCUGUGAAAACUCGAGGCUCAACCUCGAGACGUCGGCGGAAACCAUCUGGCUAGAGUCCGGAAGAGGAGAGUGGAAUUCCUGGUGUAGCGGUGAAAUGCGCAGAUAUCAGGAAGAACACCCGUGGCGAGGCGGCUCUCUGGGACGGUACUGACGCUGAGACGCGAAAGCGUGGGGAGCGAACAGG
This 252-nucleotide ribosomal RNA is filed under the name uncultured bacterium. RNAcentral's name for it is "partial 16S ribosomal RNA". It matches the Rfam family "Bacterial small subunit ribosomal RNA", at positions 524 to 776 of the family's 1533-position model. The record is from RNAcentral.